RNAcentral lists this transfer RNA (74 nucleotides) under Loxodonta africana (African savanna elephant). It matches the Rfam family "tRNA". From Rfam's summary of the family: Transfer RNA (tRNA) molecules are approximately 80 nucleotides in length. Their secondary structure includes four short double-helical elements and three loops (D, anti-codon, and T loops). Further hydrogen bonds mediate the characteristic L-shaped molecular structure. tRNAs have two regions of fundamental functional importance: the anti-codon, which is responsible for specific mRNA codon recognition, and the 3' end, to which the tRNAs corresponding amino acid is attached (by aminoacyl-tRNA synthetases). tRNAs cope with the degeneracy of the genetic code in two manners: having more than one tRNA (with a specific anti-codon) for a particular amino acid; and 'wobble' base-pairing, i.e. permitting non-standard base-pairing at the 3rd anti-codon position. The record is from Rfam by way of RNAcentral. Lineage: Eukaryota; Metazoa; Chordata; Mammalia; Proboscidea; Elephantidae.
ACCCUUGUCGGCACAAAUGAUUAAGCACUGGGCUACUAACUCAAAGGUUGGUGGUUCAAACCCACCCAGAGGUG